RNAcentral lists this transfer RNA (63 nucleotides) under Ictidomys tridecemlineatus (thirteen-lined ground squirrel). RNAcentral's name for it is "Spermophilus tridecemlineatus (thirteen-lined ground squirrel) tRNA". It matches the Rfam family "tRNA", at positions 5 to 66 of the family's 71-position model. Rfam says of the family: Transfer RNA (tRNA) molecules are approximately 80 nucleotides in length. The record is from Rfam by way of RNAcentral. Lineage: Eukaryota; Metazoa; Chordata; Mammalia; Rodentia; Sciuridae.
UUGUGGCUCAGUGGUAGAGCACUCACCUGAUGUGUGUGAGGCCCUGGGUUUGAUCCUCAGUAA